RNAcentral lists this non-coding RNA (46 nucleotides) under Schistosoma haematobium. Lineage: Eukaryota; Metazoa; Platyhelminthes; Trematoda; Strigeidida; Schistosomatidae. The record is from RNAcentral.
ACGCUUCCGAGGAGUCCCGCAAUAGAACGAAACGGCCGUCCAGUGU